GCUAGUGACCAUUCGAAGCAGAAAACAUCGAUCCUCAUUUGAUCACUGAAGAUAAGCUACGUUGGGCCCGGUUAAUACUUGCAUGGGUGACCGGCUAAUAAAAUCAGGUGUCAGUGAUA
Molecule: ribosomal RNA, 119 nt
Filed under: Schistocephalus solidus
Lineage: Eukaryota; Metazoa; Platyhelminthes; Cestoda; Diphyllobothriidea; Diphyllobothriidae
Source: RNAcentral